Molecule: long non-coding RNA, 413 nt
Filed under: Hordeum vulgare
Lineage: Eukaryota; Viridiplantae; Streptophyta; Magnoliopsida; Poales; Poaceae
Description: long non-coding RNA (HVUL_LNC018807)
Source: RNAcentral
UUUAGAGGUUCUAGUCUAUGAUUUUUUUCGAUGAAAACUGUAAAAACACUGUUAUUUUUAGGGAUUUGAGGGUUUGAGGGCUGUACUAGACUUGCUCUAACCCUAACAUCCAAAUAGGGCCAGAGUAUCAAACCGGGCCUUUGUGCUAGAUGUAAUUUCGGAUGAGAUUUGGACGUUUGAGUUUUAAAUAAAGCAGCGACAUUAAUAAUUUCUCCCUAAUAAUAAAGAAAAUAAGGUUUCUGGUCGUCCGUCAUCGGAAAUACCCCUGAAGUUGGCAUAAAUUACCCAUCAUGCCACCCGUAAGUCAAAAACGAUUCAGUUUUUCUUAAAUCACCGCGCGACGCGUAUUCCUUAUAGCGACCUAUGCCAUUCUAUAUCAACUGUCAAACACUAGCGGGAUAGAGUGUGCCUUA